AAUGUAACAAUGCCCUUAAAAUUUCAAGACUAAAUACACCAGAUUAGAAAAAUAUUACUACAAAAAUGACCAAACAUGUUAGACACUAAUCCAAUAAAAGGAAGUGUAUGGCAAGUGAAAGUUGAGUUGUAUAAAAAUGGCAACCUUAGGACCAAUGAAGAAUGAUGCCCCUCGUAAGGAUAAAAUCUUUAGGAUGUGACUAUAAAGUGUAAUUGUGCUACUUUAUGAG
RNAcentral lists this long non-coding RNA (229 nucleotides) under Carica papaya (papaya). Its description in RNAcentral is "long non-coding RNA (CPAP_LNC001810)". Lineage: Eukaryota; Viridiplantae; Streptophyta; Magnoliopsida; Brassicales; Caricaceae. The record is from RNAcentral.